Molecule: transfer RNA, 53 nt
Filed under: Thunnus tonggol (longtail tuna)
Lineage: Eukaryota; Metazoa; Chordata; Actinopteri; Scombriformes; Scombridae
Description: partial tRNA-Thr
Rfam family: tRNA
About the family: Transfer RNA (tRNA) molecules are approximately 80 nucleotides in length. Their secondary structure includes four short double-helical elements and three loops (D, anti-codon, and T loops). Further hydrogen bonds mediate the characteristic L-shaped molecular structure. tRNAs have two regions of fundamental functional importance: the anti-codon, which is responsible for specific mRNA codon recognition, and the 3' end, to which the tRNAs corresponding amino acid is attached (by aminoacyl-tRNA synthetases). tRNAs cope with the degeneracy of the genetic code in two manners: having more than one tRNA (with a specific anti-codon) for a particular amino acid; and 'wobble' base-pairing, i.e. permitting non-standard base-pairing at the 3rd anti-codon position.
Source: RNAcentral
AGAGCGCCGGUCUUGUAAACCGGACGUCGGAGGUUAAAAUCCUCCCUUUUGCU